AUUCUUUCAGGGUGACUCUUUCUCUUCGUAGACUUUGAUCUGUAAUUUGUACUUCGCGCUGUGUGUUGAUCAAAUUUCCCAUGAACAAAGGAAGCCUUUGAUUUUCACAACGUGACAAUGGAUAUUUGGAUUUGGUUUUGUUAUCUUGUGUUCUUGAAUUCUUAAUGGCUAACACUGAAUUGCUCUUUUUUUACAUGUAGCUACCAAGGGUUUGUUUCUUCUUGUCCAGAAUGAUGGAGAGGAUCCUCUGAAAGUGAAUGACACAAGCAUAGAUAUUGACAUUACUAUCCCAGAGAUACAAGUACUUAAACACCAGGCCAAAAAGAUUGCUGGAGGAGCAUGGGUCUGCUGUAAGAUUGGGAAAAAUGAACAGCAUGAUGGUGGAGUUCCAUGUCAGGAACUAGAAAUGGAGCUACCGGCGUGCCACUCGGCUAAUGACAAGGAAACGGCAGUAGGAUGGAAUCAAGGUUGGGUUGGUGACUGGGUUGAGCAACAGGAAGU
Molecule: unclassified non-coding RNA, 501 nt
Filed under: Hevea brasiliensis (rubber tree)
Lineage: Eukaryota; Viridiplantae; Streptophyta; Magnoliopsida; Malpighiales; Euphorbiaceae
Source: RNAcentral